UCCCUGGAGGACUAGUGGUUAGGCCUUGGUGCUCUCACUACCGCAGCCCAGGUGCGAUUCCCGACCAGGGAA
Molecule: non-coding RNA, 72 nt
Organism: Pangasius djambal
Lineage: Eukaryota; Metazoa; Chordata; Actinopteri; Siluriformes; Pangasiidae
Source: the annotation of a GenBank genome assembly